GACGAACGCUGGCGGCGUGCUUAACACAUGCAAGUCGAACGGAAAGGCCCCUUUGGGGGUCCUCGAGUGGCGCACGGGUGAGUAACACGUGAGUAACCUGCCCUUGACUUCGGGAUAACUUCAGGAAACUGGGGCUAAUACCGGAUAGGAAUCCUUGCUGCAUGGUGGGGGUUGGAAAGCUUCGGCGGUUUUGGAUGGACUCGCGGCUUAUCAGCUUGUUGGUGGGGUAGUGGCUUACCAAGGCUUUGACGGGUAGCCGGCCUGAGAGGGCGACCGGCCACAUUGGGACUGAGAUACGGCCCAGACUCCUACGGGAGGCAGCAGUGGGGAAUAUUGCACAAUGGGCGGAAGCCUGAUGCAGCAACGCCGCGGGCGGGAUGACGGCCUUCGGGUUGGAAACCGCUUUCAGCAGGGGCGAAGCUUGUGGUGACGGUACCUGCAGAAGAAGCACCGGCUAACUACGUG
Molecule: ribosomal RNA, 465 nt
Filed under: uncultured bacterium
Lineage: Bacteria
Description: partial 16S ribosomal RNA
Rfam family: Bacterial small subunit ribosomal RNA
Source: RNAcentral